AUAAAAACAGUGACAGGGACUAUUAGUUAUAUGUUUGACCAAUAGAGAGCUAACGGUUGGUGGAAGUUAGUGGCGAAAUAUAAUGAACUCACCCUUAAGUUAUCUUUAUGAGCAUUUCAGGGUAGCAUUUGCCUAUGAAAUGGUAGUAUCGAUCGUCUAAGCUGCGUUAAAGCUUUGAGUGAGCAUACAUGUUUUAAGGUUGCUAAUUAGGGUGGUACCACGUGUGAUAACCUCUCGUCCCUAGC
Molecule: non-coding RNA, 245 nt
Filed under: Desulfuribacillus alkaliarsenatis
Lineage: Bacteria; Bacillati; Bacillota; Desulfuribacillia; Desulfuribacillales; Desulfuribacillaceae
Description: T-box sequence
Rfam family: T-box leader
About the family: Uncharged tRNA acts as the effector for transcription antitermination of genes in the T-box leader family. T-boxes are found upstream of many aminoacyl-tRNA synthetase genes and some amino acid biosynthetic genes usually in Gram-positive bacteria.
Source: RNAcentral